RNAcentral lists this unclassified non-coding RNA (374 nucleotides) under soil metagenome. Its description in RNAcentral is "partial contains 5.8S ribosomal RNA, internal transcribed spacer 2, and large subunit ribosomal RNA". The stretch from base 1 to 120 matches the Rfam family "5.8S ribosomal RNA", at positions 35 to 154 of the family's 154-position model. The record is from RNAcentral.
GAUGAAGAACGCAGCGAAAUGCGAUAAUUAAUGUGAAUUACAGAAUUCCGUGAAUCAUCGAGUCUUUGAACGCACAUUGCGCCUCAUGGCAUUCCGUGAGGCAUGCCCAUCUCAGCGUCAGAAAAUAUUCUCAAAUUUUAGUUUUGUGCUAAAAUUUGGAUCAUGUCAAGGAAGCUAUUACUAUUAUUGUGAUCGCUCUUUGGAAAUUGAUAGGUCUUUGAGUUGCUACUCAUAGAACGUGAUGAAUCUUUCUUCGUUCUAUUGUAAUUCACUCUGGUAGUCCUAAAACUUGUAUGCCUGUGGCAUAUCUUGUAAUUUGACCUGAGAUUGGGUAGGGAUACCCGCUGAACUUAAGCAUAUCAAUAAGCGGAGGA